Non-coding RNA from Osmia lignaria (orchard mason bee), 642 nucleotides. NCBI's taxonomy places the organism in Eukaryota, Metazoa, Arthropoda, Insecta, Hymenoptera, Megachilidae. The record is from RefSeq and is a predicted model, not a curated record.
AUUAAUUUAUGAUUCUGCUUGCACAGUAAAGUGCAACGACUCUUCUGCGAUCAACAGUGCGAUAACGUCCCUCCCGGGUAGCCUUCAAAGACCACCCCCCACAGUGCGAUCUGGAAGCACGAAGCUGAUAAGUAGAACGAAAGAAUACCGAACAUGUACUGAGACAACCGUUGCCGCAGCACGCCAAAAGAUCAUCCCCCCAUACUCCACCUUCAACCAUUCGAUCCUAUCCCCACCACGGCGCCGUGUUUCCGCAUCAGCCAGUGGUGCUCACUGUUACUUCACAAUUUUAUGCAUAUCACUGCACUGAAAUUAUACUUUUCGCUACUGUAAAGGUGAAAUAAUGGGACAGGGAAAAGUGAAAGGCGAACCGCGAUGAAAACUGAUCGACAAGAAAAUUGUAAAAGUAACUAGAAAAUUUAGCGAGGGUAAAUUGAAAUCCUCCGUAACAUGCUCUGUAUUCUAUAAGAUAGUAGAAGGUGUUAAAUGAAAUGUCAAAAUUUUAACAACACUCGAUUUUACUGAUAUUGCAACAUACAUGCAACUUAUAUUUAUCAAAAUACUAUGUCACCACGUGCAACGCAUUGUCGAUAUCGUCUUAUAUGUACAAUAUGUUUAAUAAAACCUUUGUACCUACUGGCA